RNAcentral lists this ribosomal RNA (510 nucleotides) under uncultured Gammaproteobacteria bacterium. RNAcentral's name for it is "bacterial SSU rRNA". It matches the Rfam family "Bacterial small subunit ribosomal RNA", at positions 1 to 501 of the family's 1533-position model. The record is from RNAcentral. Lineage: Bacteria; Pseudomonadati; Pseudomonadota; Gammaproteobacteria.
GGGGGUUUAGAUAUAAGAUCGCUCCUCAGACAGAACGAACGCGGCAGGCAUGACUCACACAAGUAGAUCGGACGACGGGAGUUUAGUCCGCGAGUGAGGAGCAGACGCGUGAGUAAGACUUACGAAUAUGCAUGGUAGUGGUGGAGAGGGAUAGGUAAGGAAAACUAAAACUGCUUCCGUCUUCCGCGAGAAAGCAAAAGGCGGUGCGACCUUGCGCUAUCAGAUGAGCCUAGAUCAGAUUAGCUAGUUGGUGAGGUAAAGGCUCACCAAGGCGACGAUCCGUAACUGGUCUGAGAGGAUGAUCAGUCACACCGGAACUGAGACACGGUCCGGACUCCUACGGGAGGCAGCAGUGGGGAAUAUUGGACAAUGGGGGCAACCCUGAUCCAGCCAUGCCGCGUGUGUGAAGAAGGUCUUUAGAUUGUAAAAGCACUUUAAACAGGGAGGAGAGGCUAAAGGUUAAUACCUCAGCAGAUUAGACGUUACCGUGCAGAAUAAGCACCGGCUAAC